UAGUAAAAUCAGCUAAAU
Molecule: transfer RNA, 18 nt
Filed under: Ascaphus montanus (Rocky Mountain tailed frog)
Lineage: Eukaryota; Metazoa; Chordata; Amphibia; Anura; Ascaphidae
Description: partial tRNA-Met
Source: RNAcentral